CAAAAUUUGCACGUGCCCUAUUUAACGCCAUUCACAAAAAACCAUCAGCUGAAACAUUUUUAUCAUUUUUUAAAAUCCUACAUACUAUGAAAAAAAAAAAAAAAAAACAUAUUUUAAUAUUAAUUGUCAAUCAACAAUGUCAAUUAUUAUGAAGCAAAAAGCAUUGCUGCAUCGUCUUCUCAAAUUUGUCGUGUGUAUUGCCAAGCUUAUAACAGGAAAAAACCUGUAUACCUUCGGGAAAACUCAAAAGAGCGCAUGUUACAAUGACAGAAGAUAAAUCGAAAAUCAGCACAACACGUUCAAAUUACGCAAGUUCAGGGAGUUGUAGUAUGUCGAACAGGGCCGUGGGCAGCACUUUACGAGGCAGAAGUUAUGUCCGAGAGCACCGGCACACGAAGCGUAGGUCUUCUAGUAUUUGCUGUUGUGAGUUGUAUGGAACAUUUUUACGUGUAGCUGUCUCUACAAUGAAGUUACGUCGAUGCUUCGUAGACGGCGAGAACAUUGUACAAAUGAAAACGUAGAUAAAAUCUGUGACUUGUCUCCGUUCGUGUUCUCGCAAAUAGUUGUAAAAAAAUUCCACUAUUCCAAAAAGCAUUAAAGAAUUUUAUAGUGCAAUUUUACAAAAUUAUAGUCUUUACGUGCUUUUCUACAUAUUCACGUCUCAUAAUGACGUGAUUUUUCUUUUAUUAAUAUGCCUGUGUUUGAUCUAAGAAUAUUUCUCCAAACACUAUUUUAAAACGACAUAUAUUGGUAAUACUCUAAAAUAAAACCACAUUGUAAGUUUAUUUUAUAAUGAACUAGCUGACCCGGCAGACUUCGUACUUCCUCAAUCGAUAAAUAAAAGACCUAAACUUUUGUAUAAAAUAAACUUAAAACAAACAAAAGGAAUCCGUCCGACGGGGGACACAUCAAAGGAAAAACAAAAUUGUUAUUUAUAUUUAAUUCUGAGCAUUUUCAUAUUUAUCUACCUUUUAAACCUACUUUGUACUUCCACAAAUAAUUCAAGAUCAAAAUUAGCCAAAUCUGUUCAGCCGUUCUGGAGCUUUAGCGAGACUAACGAACAGCAAUUCAUUUUUAUAUAUAGAGAUAAAUAAAAUAUAUUACAGUCAAAUUUCAACUAAUUCACGUAUAACAAUAUUGUGAUAAGGGCCACAACACAAGAGUGCAAAGAGCGUCGUUUUAAAUACACAAAUUCGCACUUGACUGCCAGCCGAGCGAGUGUAGACCGUACCGAGUGAAAAGCCUACCCCAUAUGUGUACAUUAUUAAUCAUAAUAAUGGCACCUACUCCUCAACGGGCGGCUUAAUUUAAUUAAUUAAGCAGUACUAAAUAUUGUAGACGCGCAGCUCACCAACGACGAUGAAAUGUUAACAAUGUUAUUGUUCUAGUGGAUUAAAUCUAACAGCGGAUGGCUCUGAUAUUAAUUUGAAUGUUCGGGCGAAAUCCUUGGACAAGGUCGCUGACUUAACGAUGUAUUAAUUUAAUGGAGCAUGAAGUUUGCGUUUACGAUUAGACGAAUAUAACGAAUAGCUUCACGAUAUAGGGGCACAAAAUUAGUAUGCAUUGUAUAUAUGGGCGCAAACGCCACUAUUGGCAAUAAUUAACAUAAUAAUAUAUAGUUUAAUUUAUUCUAUGUUAUUGUUUAUUUAUUAUUAGCAAGAUGAAACUAUUAUUCUACCAUAUUUAAUAAUUAGCAGACACUGUUUUGAUGUGAAAAUGUCCAGAAUACGUUUAAUGUUUAUAUUAUUGUUUAAAAACACAAAUGAUUGUAUAAAUAAUUAAAUAUGAAUAAAGCAUAAAUAUUAAUAACAAUUUAUAUUAUAAUUAACAGUAAUAAUUUAAUUAAGUAUUAUAAUUGUUAUGCAAUGAUGUUGAUGGCGCCAUCUAUCAUUAGGCUGGUUAAUAACAAUGUUAGUUUAAAUUAGUUAAAAGUAAUUUAUGUAACAUAAAUUAAUGUCAGAGUCAUGUAAAAAUCACUAAAAUAUGUAUUGUGAUGUGAUAUUAAGCCAUAUUUUGUGAAUUGUUUCGCAGUAAUUACAUUCGUUUGUAUAAAAGAAGUUGUAUUUGCAAAAUGGCUAAUUGUGUAAGAACUAAGACAUGGCUUUUUGUAAGAAACAAGUAAUGUUAAAAUUUUAUAGAAUUGUAUUGUAUUUUUAUUGUAAAAUAACUUAUGUGUGAAAACCCUGGCGUAAUGCCGACAUAUACAUAUAUAUUUGAAACUGUCUUAUUUUGAUACAAAAUGGCAUUCAGAUUUAUUUCACGAUCACUGUUCACCAUGAACGUCUUACACAAUGGAAAUAUACGUAGCAUUUAUUAUUAUAAAAUAACGUGUCUUUGGUUUAUUAAAAUUUGUAAAAACAAUAUCGAAACAUCAAAAAAUCAACUUUUAAAACGUAUUUUCAAAAGAAAGUCACCCUCGUUUAUUCAGGCCUGCUUGUUCUCUUCAGUAGCUUAAUUUUCCUUGUAUCUCGUGUGUACUUACUACAUACCAAAUUAAAUUUCUUGUUAAAUGAAGACUUAUGAUAACAAAACAUACACAAAGAGCUUUAAUACGUUAUCGUAAAAGUUACAUAACUAAACCAAACAGAGUUCUUGGAGAAAUUCAAAAUAUUGUUAUAACAAAAGUGUAUAUAAUUAAAAUCGAUGAAAAACUUUCCGGUACUCCUGAACAUUUGUAUGAAGCAAUUCUGCCGCUAAUGAUAAUAUCUGUUGAAUCUUAAGUUAAAUGUCCUCUAUUUUGAUGAUUUAAAACUUUAAUGCUCAUUGCUCGUCAAUUUAUUUUUUGGUCAAAGAAUAUAAUUUGGUAACUAUCUAAAAUUACAUUUAUACAUUCUUCAUUCACUAUUCAGUCUAUUCUUCUGUGGAAUGCGCUCCCACUCAAAAUAAGGUCGGCCACUACACGUGAAGCGUUUAAGACGAAGGUUCGAGAACUGUUUCGCGGAGAGUUAGCAGAGGCAUCUAAUUGAUAAUAUUUGUUUAUAUAUGUUUUAUAUGUAUAUAUUUAUGAUAUGUAUAUGUAUAUAUUUAUGUAUAUCUAUAUAUUUGUGUAUAUGUAUUUAUUUAAGUACGAGUAUUUGUAUCUAUAAAUAUUAUGUAUGUUAUAUAUACACAUAUGUUUAAGUAAUAUCACCUUCACACUACACCUACCAAGCUUCAUCUCUGCACUCCCCUAAGGUAGACUGUUAGAGAAUGCCUAUGGCAUUAAUUCCGCCUUUAUACUUUCUAGUAUAAGAAGUUAUAAAUAAAUAAAUAAAAUUUCAAUUCUUCAAUAGAAAUAAACAGACCGAGGAUAUAAAAGGUGUGGCUUCAACACAUUGUGAGAACCCUUAAUAAUGAGAGAAAAUGAUAAAAGGUCUAACAAUUAUUGUUAAUUAUUUUUGUGAGUAAAAAAUUUAUCCUUCAUAGAAACACAGCAACCAUGUUAAAUUAUUUCCUUCGGUUUUCACUAGACGUAGACACCAUUUCAGAUCAUUGUGAGAACCUUUAAUAAUGAAGAAAAUGUGUAAAAUCCAUUAAUCUAAAUAUUAUCAUACAUUAUUUUUAUCCCUCAUGAUCAUAAAAACUAUAAAGUAUUCUCAGCGUAGAAAAAGAAUAAAAUGAAAAUAAAAAAGUAAAAUUUAAACCUAAAA
Molecule: long non-coding RNA, 3629 nt
Organism: Bombyx mori (domestic silkworm)
Lineage: Eukaryota; Metazoa; Arthropoda; Insecta; Lepidoptera; Bombycidae
Exons: 3
Source: RefSeq, a predicted model, not a curated record